UUGGGUUAUGGCAUUCAUCACUAUGAGUCCAAGAGGAAUCAAGUACAUCCAAUAUUUAGCCCAAAAAGACCUUUCAGGUGGUUUUACAGCUUCACCCUCUCCAUUUUCUCCAAGUUGUUCCUCAGCAAAUACUGGAGUUCUUGGUGCCUGCUCACUGUUCUUCAGAACUGUAUGGGAGUUGAAUGACCACUUGGCAGGAAGUUUCAUUUGCCGAGGGUAGGGGCAUGCUCCAGGGGCACCAUAAUUGACAGCCAAGAUAUUAACACCUUCCAUGUGUAUAACAAAAUGCUCAUCCAAAC
This 299-nucleotide unclassified non-coding RNA is filed under the name Hevea brasiliensis (rubber tree). Lineage: Eukaryota; Viridiplantae; Streptophyta; Magnoliopsida; Malpighiales; Euphorbiaceae. The record is from RNAcentral.